UACGACUACAUAUCAGGCAUAUCAAUAAGCGGAGGAAAAGAAACUAACAAGGAUUCCCCUAGUAACGGCGAGUGAAGCGGGAAGAGCUCAAAUUUGAAAUCUUAAAGGGUUUCCCUUUACGAAUUGUAGUUUAAAGAAGUGUUUUCUGUUGGAGUUUCGGUAAAAGUUCUUUGGAAUAGGACAUCAUAGAGAGGGUGAGAAUCCCGUAUUUGACCGUUACUUUCCAGCUGUGUGAUACACUUUCAAAGAGUCGGAUUGUUUGGGAAUGCAGUCCAAGAUGGGUGGUAAAUUUCAUCUAAAGCUAAAUAUUGGCGAGAGACCGAUAGCGAACAAGUACCGUGAGGGAAAGAUGAAAAGAACUUUGAAAAGAGAGUUAAACAGUACGUGAAAUUGUCAAAAGGGAAGCGUUUGACACCAGUGUUGUUUAGUUGAAAAUCAAUUCAAUAGUUUUUGAUUCUAAGUAGUAUUGACUUCAUCAGCUUGCUGCUUUCUUCUCAGAAAUUAUUGAAUGCACUUUUCAGUUAACAAGUCAACAUCAAUUUCUUUUGUUGUAAAAGGGUAAGAGGAAGGUGGCUUGCGCUUCGGCUCAAGUGUUUAUAGCCUUUUAUCUCUGCAAUCGGAGAGAUUGAGGUCUGCAGCGUAGAUCCUUCGGGGUUAGAUACAUUGGUGCUAAGCUAUAGCCUUGUAUAGACAACUUGUUGACUAUGCUCAGUCAUGUAGCUUACUCGCUGAUGCUAUUUUACCUACGCUUAGGAUGUUGAGUAGCGACAUACGCAC
RNAcentral lists this ribosomal RNA (777 nucleotides) under uncultured Neocallimastigales. RNAcentral's name for it is "partial large subunit ribosomal RNA". It matches the Rfam family "Eukaryotic large subunit ribosomal RNA", at positions 24 to 649 of the family's 3401-position model. Lineage: Eukaryota; Fungi; Neocallimastigomycota; Neocallimastigomycetes; Neocallimastigales. The record is from RNAcentral.